This is a long non-coding RNA of Cheilinus undulatus (humphead wrasse), 237 nucleotides long. RefSeq lists it as uncharacterized. The transcript is spliced from 3 exons. NCBI's taxonomy places the organism in Eukaryota, Metazoa, Chordata, Actinopteri, Labriformes, Labridae. The record is from RefSeq and is a predicted model, not a curated record.
CCCGGGCUCCACGGAGUGAAAAGUACCGUCAGGAGGACGCUUUACCACGGCAGGAAGAGUCUGAGAGGUGCGGAUGAAACAUGGGCUAAAAACCUGAGUCUGGUGUCCUCCUCACCUGUCUCACCUGCCUGCUGCUGGCUGAGCUUUAACAUCACACAGAGAACCGAGCCAUCAGGGUCUUUUCUAUGAGGACUGUCAUCUGUCUUUGGAGGAAGAAGAUUUUGCAUUUUUAAAGAC